Non-coding RNA from Brachypodium distachyon (stiff brome), 124 nucleotides. NCBI's taxonomy places the organism in Eukaryota, Viridiplantae, Streptophyta, Magnoliopsida, Poales, Poaceae. The record is from Rfam.
GAUGUACUCCCUCCGUUCCAUAAUUCUUGUCUCAAAUUUGCCCAAAAUUGGAUGUAUCUAUUCCUAAAAAGUGUUAGAUACAUGGAAGAUUUCGACAAGAAUUAUGGAACGGAGGAAGUACAUA